This 5900-nucleotide long non-coding RNA is filed under the name Homo sapiens (human). RNAcentral describes it as "non-protein coding ZFPM2-AS1:13". Lineage: Eukaryota; Metazoa; Chordata; Mammalia; Primates; Hominidae. The record is from RNAcentral.
UGAGGAGACUGGUGUUAAGUAACUCGCCCAUCCAUGACCGCAUCAGUGGUUGAAAUGGGAUUGGAAUCUGGUCUUAAUCACUCUUCCAUAAUGCCUCCAUGGCAAGGGUGGCAGAGAGGAAGAAUUAUGCUGAGGAAGUAGAACUGACUAGAAGUCAUGAACAAUGCUUGGUGAUUAGAUUCUAGAAUGGACGAAUAAGGCUCUGCUUUGCUCCCAAGCUUCUGUGUCAGUAAUGGCUUCAUUCAUCUACACAGGGAACAGAGGAUGGAGAGGUGAUGUCUUCAGGCUAGGGCAUGUACAGGGUGACCAAAUCUGACCUUGUAUUGUGCAAACUCAGGACUUUCGUAGAGGAAAGGAGUCACCAUCCAGAGGGAUGCCAGAUAAAAAUGUACAAUGGGACUAAGCCAGGCAAACAGUGGCACAUGUUCACGUUAGACAUGUGGAAUCUGAUAUUUCUGUAAGAAAUACAGAAGAACAUGGGAAAAAUGGCAACAGAGGCCUAAAACUCUGCAGAAAUGGCUGAUCUUAUAAUUUGUGAACUGUUAUUUAUGGUUGUUGGUGGAGCCCAUGGUAGUGAAGGAGAUGGCUCAGGGAGACAACAUUAAAGGCGAUAAGGAGAAAAACUAAUGAUCAAAUUCUAGUGAAUGAAAGGGAAGUAAGGAUAGUAAGUAUAAUAAUAGAGUUUCAAAUUAACAUUUAAUUUUAAAAUUAAUUAUAUGCUACUACUGUUUAUUAUUUAACCCUUCCCUUCCAAGUUAAUUUCAUUUACACUAUUCAUGAGGCUACACAGUUUAGUAAAGGGUCCAUUUAAGCAGGAUGAAUUUAACUCACUAAUUUCAGAAUGAAAGCAAAAGCUCUCUGCAUCUAUGCUGAAUUAUUUGACAUAAAUAGCUGUCUUGCUACAGAAAGCAAAUAGAGUACACUCUCCACUAUAAUUAGAAUUAACAUCAGAUACUCCUAGAAUCUUUCUUUGGCAAUAAAAUUCUUUUGCCUCAAAUUCAGGUUGGGCCAUGUUAUUUCCAGUUCCUCACUAUCAGAAUCAAAGUAAAGAUACAGGAAAGAAAAUAAGUACAUUUACCAUAAGGAAAUCCAAUAAUACUAGCUUAGAUGGGAAGUACUAUAUCAUUGAUUGAAUGCACAGUAAUUUCAGACUCAUCUGAUAAUUUCUUUAAUCUAAAGGAUGAUAUUACAGCAAGAAUCUAAUUACAGUUAAAUAUUUUAUUUUAAUAUCAAGACAUCAUUGUGUCUCUGGAUUUCUCUUUUGCCUCAUUCAGAGUCUCAGAGAUUUUAAAGUAUAUUUUUGAUUAGAUGCAAUUUUUUGCUUACCUACUAACUUCAGAAUCUAUUCUCCUCUUAAGAUGUGUCUGCUACUCAUGUGUUUUCAUAGAGCUAGAUAAAAAUCAGAUAUGGCUAGAACACAGAUCUUGGGACUCCAGACGACUGAUUUUGUGUCAUAUGAAGUGUCAUUCUGUGACACAAAAAUACAAACUAAGUUAAGUUCAAUUUCUUUUUUAUGAAGUAAAAUCACAAAGGUAAAUUUGCCAGGGUGUACUUAAAAAUUCUCCAUAUAAAGUGUUCUAAGCUUAUCAUGCAUUUCUUUCUUUUUUUUUUUUUUAACCUUUUUGCAUUAGCAGAUGUCUUGAUUUAUCCAGGAUACACUUCUUUUUUGUUUGUUAGUAUAUCUAAUCAAACUUUGAUUUCGUAUUUUGUUUCUUUUUUUCAAGUUUUUAAGUCUACGGCCCUUAAAGAAUACCACAUUUUUUCUACUAUAGAAGCAUUAAUGAAAGGUGCUCGCCUUCUCACAGCUAAGUAGCCUUGAAUAUUAUUGAACUCAUGUAGAACAUCAGCUUUGUGUGUGUGUGUGUGUGUGUGACAUUCAGGAAUCUGACUUGAAAUGGUUGCAGUUAAGGGUUCUUUCUACACUCCCAGGACAAUUGACCACACACACACACACACACACACACACACACACACACAAAGAUAAAAUGAGGGGGAGGAGCCAAGAUGGCCGAAUAGGAACAGCUCCAGUCUACAGCUCCCAGCGUGAGUGACGCAGAAGACGGGUGAUUUUUGCAUUUCCAUCUGAGGUACUGGGUUCAUCUCACUAGGGAGUGCCAGACAGUGGGCGCAGGUCAGUGGGUGCAGCGCACCGUGCAUGAGCUGAAGCAGGGCGAGGCAUUGCCUCACUCGGGAAGCGCAAGGGGUCAAGGAGUUCCCUUUCCUAGUCAAAGAAAGGGGUGACAGACGGCACCUGGAAAAUCGGGUCACUCCCACCCGAAUACUGCGAUUUUCCGACAGGCUUAAAAAAUGGCGCACCAGGAGAUUAUAUCCUGCACCGGGCUUGGAGGGUCCUAUGCCCACGGACCCUCACUGAUUGCUAGCACAGCAGUCUGAGAUCAAACUGCAAGGCGGCAGCGAGGCUGGGGGAGGGGCGCCAGCCAUUGCCCAGGCUUGCUUAGGUAAACAAAGCAGCCGGGAAGCUCCAACUGGGUGGAGCCCACCACAGCUCCAGGAGGUCUGCCUGCCUCUGUAGGCUCCACCUCUGGGGGCAGGGCACAGACAAACAAAAAGACAGCAGUAACCUCUGCAGACUUAAAUGUCCCUGUCUGACAGCUUUGAAGAGAGCAGUGGUUCUCCCAGCAUGCAGCUGGAGAUCUGAGAACCCGCAGACUGCCUCCUCAAGUGGGUCCCUGACCCCUGACCCCUGAGCAGCCUAACUGGGACGCACCCCCCAGUAGGGGCAGACUGACACCUCACACAGCCAGAUACUCCUCUGAGACAAAACUUCCAGAGGAACGAUGAGACAGCAGCAUUCACGGUUCAUGAAAAACCACUGUUCUGCAGACACCGCUGCUGCUACCUAGGCAAACAGCAUCUGGAGUGGACCUCUAGCAAACUCCAACAGACCUGCAGCUGAGGGUCCUGUCUGUUUGUUAGAAGGAAAACUAACAAACAGAAAGGACAUCCACACCAAAAACCCAUCUGUACAUCACCAUCAUCAAAGACCAAAAGUAGAUAAAACCACAAAGAUGGGGAAAAAACAAAGCAGAAAAACUGGAAACUCUAAAAAGCAGAGCACCUCUCCUCCUCCAAAGGAUCACAGUUCCUCACCAGCAAUGGAACAAAGCUGGACGGAGAAGGACUUCGACGAGUUGAGAGAAGAAGGCUUCAGACAAUCAAACUACGAGCUACAGGAGGAAAUUAAAACCAAAGGCAAAGAAGUUAAAAUCUUUGAAAAAAAUUUAGACGAAUGUAUAACUAGAAUAACCAAUACAGAGAAGUGCUUAAAGGAGCUGUUGGAGCUGAAAGCCAAGGCUCGAGAACUACGUGAAGAAUGCAGAAGCCUCAGGAGCCGAUGUGAUCAACUAGAAGAAAGGGUAUCAGCGAUGGAAGAUGAAAUGAAGCGAGAAGGGAAGUUUAGAGAAAAAAGAAUAAAAAGAAACAAACAAAGCCUCCAAGAAAUAUGGGACUAUGUGAAAAGACCAAAUCUACGUCUGAUUGGUGUAUCUGAAAGUGAUGGGGAGAAUGGAACCAAGUUGGAAAACACUCUGCAGGAUAUUAUCCAGGAGAACUUCCCCAAUCUAGCAAGGCAGGCCAACAUUCAGAUUCAGGAAAUACAGAGAACACCACAAAGAUUCUCCUUGAGAAGAGCAACUCCAAGACACAUAAUUAUCAGAUUCACCAAAGUUGAAAUGAAGGAAAAAAUGUUAAGGGCAGCCAGAGAGAAAGGACGGGUUACCCACAAAGGGAAGCCCAUCAGACUAACAGCGGAUCUCUCGGCAGAAACUCUACAAGCCAGAAGAGAGUGGGAGCCAAUAUUCAACAUUCUUAAAGAAAAGAAUUUUCAACCCAGAAUUUCAUAUCCAGCCAAACUAAGCUUCAUAAGUGAAAGAGAAAUAAAAUACUUUACAGACAAGCAAAUGCUGAGAGAUUUUGUCACCACCAGGCCUGCCCUAAAACAGCUCCUGAAGGAAGCACUAAACAUGGAAAGGAACAACUGGUACCAGCUGCUGCAAAAUCAUGCCAAAACGUAAAGACCAUCGAGACUAGGAAGAAACUGCAUCAACUAACGAGCAAAAUAACCAGCUAACAUCAUAAUGACAGGUUCAAAUUCACACAAAACUAUAUUAACUUUAAAUGUCAAUGGACUAAAUGCUCCAAUUAAAAGACACAGACUGGCAAAUUGGAUAAAGAGUCAAGACUCAUCAGUGUGUUGUAUUCAGGAAACCCAUCUCACAUGCAGAGACACACACAGGCUCAAAAUAAAAGGAUGGAGGAAGAUCUACCAAGCAAAUGGAAAACAAAAAAAGGCAGGGAUUGCAAUCCUAGUCUCUGAUAAAACAGACUUUAAACCAACAAAGAUCAAAAGAGACAAAGAAGGCCAUUACAUAAUGGUAAAGGGAUGAAUUCAACAAGAAGAGCUAACUAUCCUAAAUAUAUAUGCACCCAAUACAGGAGCACCCAGAUUCAUAAAGCAAGUCGUGAGUGACCUACAAAGAGACUUAGACUCCCACACGUUAAUAAUGGGAGACUUUAACACCCCACUGUCAACAUUAGACAGAUCAACGAGACAGAAAGUCAACAAGGAUACCCAGGAAUUGAACUCAUCUCUGCACCAAGCAGACCUAAUAGACAUCUACAGAACUCUCCACACCAAAUCAACAGAAUAUACAUUUUUUUCAGCACCACACCAAUUCCAAAAUUGACUACACAGUUGGAAGUAAAGCUCUACUCAGCAAAUGUAAAAGAACAGAAAUUAUAACAAACUAUAUCUCUGACCACAGUGCAAUCAAACUAGAACUCAGGAUUAAGAAACUCACUGAAAACCGCUCAACUACAUGGAAACUGAACAACCUGCUCCUGAAUGACUACUGGGUACGUAACGAAAUGAAGGCAGAAAUAAAGAUGUUCUUUGAAACCAAUGAGAACAAAGACACAGCAUACCUGAAUCUCUGGGACACAUUCAAAGCAGUGUGUAGAGGGAAAUUUACAGCACUAAAUGCCCACAAGAGAAAGCAGGAAAGAUCCAAAAUUGACACUCUAACAUCACAAUUAAAAGAACUAGAAAAGCAAGAGCAAACACACUCAAAAACUAGCAGAAGGCAAGAAAUAACUAAAAUCAGAGCAGAACUGAAGGAAAUAGAGACACAAAAAACCCUUCAAAAAUUAAUGAAUCCAGGAACUGGUUUUUUGAAAGGAUCAACAAAAUUGAUAGACCGCUAGCAAGACUAAUAAAGAAAAAAAGAGAGAAGAAUCAAAUAGACGCAAUAAAAAAUGAUAAAGGGGAUAUCACCAGCGAUCCCACAGAAAUAUAAACUACCAUCAGAGAAUACUACAAACACCUCUAUGCAAAUAAACUAGAAAAUCUAGAAGAAAUGGAUAAAUUCCUCGACACAUACACUCUCCCAAGACUAAACCAGGAAGAAGUUGAAUCUCUGAAUAGACCAAUAACAGGAGCUGAAAUUGUGGCAAUAAUCAAUAGCUUACCAAUGAAAAAGAGUCCAGGACCAGAUGGAUUCAUAGCCGAAUUCUACCAGAGGUACAAGGAGGAACUGGUACCAUUCCUUCUGAAACUAUUCCAAUCAAUAGAAAAAGAAAGAAUCCUCCCUAACUCAUUUUAUGAGGCCAGCAUCAUCCUGAUACCAAAGCCGGGCAGAGAUACAACCAAAAAAGAGAAUUUUAGACCAAUAUCCUUGAUGAACAUUGAUGCAAAAAUCCUCAAUAAAAUACUGGCAAACUGAAUCCAGCAGCACAUCAAAAAGCUUAUCCACCAUGAUCAAGUGGGCUUCAUCCCUGGGAUGCAAGGCUGGUUCAAUAUACGCAAAUCAGUAAAUGUAAUCCAGCAUAUAAACAGAACCAAAGACAAAAACCACAUGAUUAUCUCAAUAGAUGCAGAAAAG